This is a long non-coding RNA of Polistes dominula (European paper wasp), 127 nucleotides long. The record is from RefSeq and is a predicted model, not a curated record. Lineage: Eukaryota; Metazoa; Arthropoda; Insecta; Hymenoptera; Vespidae.
UGCAUAUUCAUGAUGAAUAUAAAAAAUUAUCAUUAAAGAGUUGGUGGUAGCCGUUUAUUAGUAGACCUUACAACUAGCGAGAAGGCGGUACAUGCAGACUUUUUCAAUGAAUUCGAUGACCUUUUUG